AAUCCACACCACGGGGCCCUCUGCAGUUGUAAGAAACUCUUGGCCUGUCCUGGGGUUUGGGGAAAUCAGGAUGCAAGCAGAUACCGUACGCUCUGCCACGGGACCGUGAAGUCUGCGGAACCUCAGAGGAACACGGAGACAAAUGGCUGCACGACUCCCACAGGCCGAGCCUCGAUGGGCGCCCGUGUCAAGAACACAGACACGCCGGGAGGGGCAGCCGAUGCAGGCAACGCCUGCAACUCCAGCAAGCAACAGCGUCUGAGUGUGGGGGUCUCUGGCCAGGCUCCACCACAACUGCCAUAUUCUGUGACAAAAUUUUAAAAAUAGGUUUUAACUAGUUAUAACUCUAACUUGUUUUACACAUAAACAGAACACAGGGUACCAACAGGCUCCAAAAUACUUUGCCUAGAACCAAGUCUAGAAUGCAGAUGGAUGCUGCUCCGAGUGUGAGGAGUCCCCUGUAGUGCCAUAAAUCCUAGAUCUAGGUGACUAAGUGCUCUUCCUAAACCAGACGGCACCAUGAGGCUCUGAGGGCACCCUCUGUCCCCAGGCCAGUCCAUCAGCCCCUGCAGAAGCUUCUAGAGUAAGAGCCUGUGGAUUUGUAUUGGACGGAUGUAAACCAGGCAAAGUCACAGGGGCUCGUCCUGGAAGCCCAUCCAUUUACCCACUCAUGCCGUGGAGAGCCCUGCCCCCAACUCCACACCCGCAAUCACGCUCAACCACAAGAACUGGCUUCUAGGCCCUCAAGCCACUCCCUCUCACCCCGGACAGACGCUUCUCAAACCAUGAGGCCCAGAGUAGUCUUAACAGGUGGUCCCAGCAGAACUGGCCACUGCAUGAAUUGAUAUUUUGUGUGUGGGGGGUGGUUGUUCUUCUGUCACUCAGGCACAGUGCACCAUAAGUACAGUGGUGCUAUCAUGGUUCACUGCAGCCUCAACCUGCCAGGUUUAAGAAAAACCAAUUCUAGGCUGGGCAUAGUGGCUCACACCUGUCAUCCCAGCACCUUGGGAGGCUGAGUUGGGCAGUUCACUUUUGAGCCCAGGAAUUCAAGACCAGCCUGGGCAACAUAGCAAGACCCUGACUCUACAAAAAAUUAAAUAGGAGAGGUGAUGUGCACCUGUGGUCCCAGCUACUCGGGAAGCUAAGGCUGGAGGAUGACCCAAGCCUGGCAGGUUGAGGCUGCAGUGAACCAUGAUAGCACCACUGUACUUAUGGUGCACUGUGCCUGAGUGACAGAAGAACAACCACCCCCCACACACAAAAUAUCAAUUCAUGCAGUGGCCAGUUCUGCUGGGACCACCUGUUAAGACUACUCUGGGCUCAUGGUUUGAGAAGCGUCUGUCCGGGGUCGAGAGGGAGUAGCUUGAGGGCCUAGAAGCCAGUUCUUGUGGUUGAGCGUGAUUGCGGGUGUGGAGUUGGGGGCAGGGCUCUCCACGGCAUGAGUGGGUAAAUGGAUGGGCUUCCAGGACGAGCCCCUGUGACUUUGCCUGGUUUACAUCCGUCCAAUACAAAUCCACAGGCUCUUACUCUAGAAGCUUCUGCCGGGGCUGAUGGACUGGCCUGGGGACAGAGGGUGCCCUCAGAGCCUCAUGGUGCCGUCUGGUUUAGGAAGAGCACUUAGUCACCUAGAUCUAGGAUUUAUGGCACUACAGGGGACUCGUCACACUCGGAGCAGCAGCCAUCUGCACUCUAGACUUGGUUCUAGGCGAAGUAUUUUGGAGCCUGUUGGUACCCUGUGUUCUGUUUAUCUGUAAAACAAGUUAGAGUUAUAACUAGUUAAAAUUUAUUUUUAAAAUUUUGCCACAGAAUAUGGCAGUUGUGGUGGAGCUUGGCCAGAGACCCCCACACUCAGACGCUGCUGCGUGCUGGGCUGCAAGCGUUGCCUGCAUUGGCUGCCCCUCCCGGUGUGUCUGUGUUCUUGACACGGGCGCUCGUCGAGGCU
Macaca mulatta (Rhesus monkey) is the source of this 1942-nucleotide long non-coding RNA. NCBI's taxonomy places the organism in Eukaryota, Metazoa, Chordata, Mammalia, Primates, Cercopithecidae. The record is from Ensembl.